Molecule: ribosomal RNA, 668 nt
Filed under: uncultured bacterium
Lineage: Bacteria
Description: bacterial SSU rRNA
Rfam family: Bacterial small subunit ribosomal RNA
Source: RNAcentral
GGGACAACAGCCAGAAAUGGCUGCUAAUACCGCAUAAGCCUGCUGUGCCGCAUGGCACAGCAGGGAAAACCACGGUGGUACAGGAUGGGCCCGCGUCUGAUUAGUUAGUUGGCAGGGUAACGGCCUACCAAGACGAUGAUCAGUAGCCGGCUUGAGAGAGUGGACGGCCACAUUGGGACUGAGACACGGCCCAGACUCCUGCGGGAGGCAGCAGUGGGGAAUAUUGCACAAUGGGGGGAACCCUGAUGCAGCAAUGCCGCGUGGGUGAAGAAGCACUCCGGUGCGUAAAGCCCUGUCAGCAGGGAAGAAAAUGACAGUACCUGACCAAGAAGCCCCGGCUAACUACGUGCCAGCAGCCGCGGUAAUACGUAGGGGGCAAGCGUUAUCCGGAUUUACUGGGUGUAAAGGGAGCGCAGGCGGUAUGGCAAGUCAGAUGUGAAAACCCAGGGCUCAACCCUGGGACUGCAUUUGAAACUGCCAUACUGGAGUGCCGGAGAGGUAAGUGGAAUUCCUAGUGUAGCGGUGAAAUGCGUAGAUAUUAGGAGGAACACCAGUGGCGAAGGCGGCUUACUGGACGGUAACUGACGCUGAGGCUCGAAAGCGUGGGGAGCAAACAGGAUUAGAUACCCUGGUAGUCCACGCUGUAAACGAUGAAUACUAGGUGUCGG